UCGAACGAAUAUUUUGCUCAGGC
RNAcentral lists this non-coding RNA (23 nucleotides) under Arabidopsis thaliana (thale cress). Lineage: Eukaryota; Viridiplantae; Streptophyta; Magnoliopsida; Brassicales; Brassicaceae. The record is from RNAcentral.